Molecule: long non-coding RNA, 2100 nt
Filed under: Carica papaya (papaya)
Lineage: Eukaryota; Viridiplantae; Streptophyta; Magnoliopsida; Brassicales; Caricaceae
Description: long non-coding RNA (CPAP_LNC014589)
Source: RNAcentral
CUUCCCCUUAUUCUUCCGGCCUCUCUAUUCUAUCCUCUCUCUUUUCUAUCUCUCGUCUUUUCCUCUCAAAAUGAAGAAAAACCUUAAUCUUUUUUCUUAUAUACCCAUCUCCUUAGCUGUUGGAUCUCACCAUACUCAAUCUGAGCCGUUCAUUCUUCGUUAAAUCUCAGCCAUCUGAUCUCCUCAAACGGUCCGAUCUGGGCCGUCCAUUUCCCUGAUUUCAUUUGCCUCCUUCUAAUUUUCCUUAUUUAUGUUUUUGUCCCUUUUUUCUCAUAUGUUUUCAUUUAAAUCCUAAUUCUAAUUUUUUUUUACUUACAUUUCUUCUCUUUUUUUUUUCUUUAGGUGGAUAUUACAUACCAAAUAAUACAGUGGAUUAUUAUGGGAUGUCAAACUUUUGAGUUUGCCUAUGGAUCCUAAACUUUGUUUAAGUGGAAAUAAUGGAGAACCAUUAGUAGAUGCAUCUUGGUGCAAAAGAUUAAUUGAGAGAUCAUUAUAUGUAGUACUUCAUAAACCAAAGAUUGCAUUCAUAGUUCAGAAGCUCAAUCCAUUUAUUUCAUCUCCACGAGAACCUCAUCUCAACACAAUGCAUAAUUUACAAGUCUAGGGCAAGGACUUUUUUUACUUAUAUAUUCUGCAGUCAAUAUUCAUGCUUUCUCAUAUGCAAGUUGGGCAACAUAUAUCUACUCUGGAAAGUUAAUGACUAGUUUUUUUGUGUUUCUAGUUAGUCGCUAGUGUCUUAGAAGACCAAGAAGCAAACAAUCAUCUUACAUUCCUCUGUACAGGUAACUGCAGUUACAAGUGAGGUAACUCGAUUUCAACAGCUAUUAAGUGAUUUUAGUAUUUCUACUACAACUUCAGCCUGCUGUUUUAUGAUGAUCAGACAACCAUUCAUAUUGUAAAAUCUAACGUUUUAUUAAAUGAUAAAGUACAUGCAGAUGGAUUGUCACUUUGUCCAAGAUCAUUCAAACAAAAGAACUAUCAAGUUGUUGCCUGUUAAGUCUCAACAUCGAUUGACCUAUUUUUUUCACCAAAGUUCUUAUUUCUAAAUUUUUUGGUCGAUUAUCAUUAAAGAUAUUUGUAAUUGACAUGCACAGUCCACCUCGAGGGGGAGUUUUAAAGUUGGUUAAUUAAAUGGUUAACUAACUCAACAUUUUCCAUUAUUCAUUAAAUUGUUUUAGUGCUUUACUUUUUAUCUUGGGUAUGUAUAUGCAAUCUUGUAUACACUUACAAACAUUCUUGAACAGAAAUAGAAAGCAUUCUUUCUUCUUCAGCUUGCCUGUCAUCUUUCUCUCUCUCUCUCUCUCUCUCCCUCAAAUCUCAAGAUCAUGACAAUAAUGAAGAUCCUUCUUUAAAUUGCUUGGUGGAAAAAUAGGACAAAAAAUUUCAAACUUCAACACUUCAUCAAUUGCCUAUGGAACACUAGGAAUCAUUGAAGGUUCUUUAAAAAGCAGGCAAUAAGUAAACUCAUUAUUUUUAUGUUAAAUUAAAUUAAUUAAAUAUCACCUAUUACUAAUUUAUAUUAUUUAUUAACUAUUUUUUAAUUAAAUGUUUAAUACUUUUUCCUUUAUGAAAUACUAAUUUUUAGUCUGACUAAGAUUGUGUUAUAAUUAAUAUAUAUUAUAUAUGUGACGUCAUAUUUGUAAAAACGUACGAAUUUGUAUUUUUAAAAAAUUUACAUGAUCUAAUGGUGCACGAUAUUUAAUUCGGAACUUCACCGAAGAAAUCAACUGUAGCUGAGGCUCUCAUAUCAGUAAAACACAUACAUCACAACUUUCACAGAUUCAUAUGAAUAAUUAGUGCAAAUUACUUCUACAUCACAAAUGUCUUAUCUAUCCUUAGACGUGUGUGUAUAUUUAUUUUGGUAUAUUGAUAUAUACAUAUAUGAAUAUAUAUAUAUAUAUUUAUUCGACUAUCAAUGCCUGUAAAAGAAGCUAUACGAUGAUAGCAGCGGUCAGAAGAGAGAAAUCGACCUUGUCAGUUCUGCUGAAAAAAAUUGCAGAGAGCCUCAAAACUAAAAAGACGAUCACCGAUAUGAUUUAAGAUAGCUCCACAGAAAGUACAGAUUAUAGCUCUCCAAGACUUCCAGUAAAACGGAACGCA